Long non-coding RNA from Lates calcarifer (barramundi perch), 20310 nucleotides. RefSeq lists it as uncharacterized. The transcript has 3 exons. NCBI's taxonomy places the organism in Eukaryota, Metazoa, Chordata, Actinopteri, Centropomidae. The record is from RefSeq and is a predicted model, not a curated record.
GAGAACAAAAACAGGUUAAGGUUAAAAAUACGCUCCCGUUAGCAGAGAAAUGUAAACAGGCAGGCAGUGUGGCUGCCUCACAUCUGGACUCUCGUCUUGCUCCCCCUCGCUUUAGCUCGCAGGCUUGGUUGUAGCUCUGCAACAGAUCUCAUCUCUCAGUUUCAUCCUGGACCAGUCUACUAUUUUUUCUCACUGUAUACCUACAGGGAUUCUGCCUCUUUAGCUAUAACCAUUGAGACUACAGUUCUAUCUGCUGUCUCAAUUUAAAUGGUAAUAAAGUGAUGUCUUAAUUUCACAGUGGGAACAUCCCAGGCACUCUCAACCUCUGAGGGAACAAAAACCACCUGCCAUCCUAUUCCCCUCUUUUUCUUUCAAGACAAGUCACUUUAUCCUGGUUAACAUUUUAAUGGAAACGUCUUGCACUGACAGGAUAUGGGCUUUUCUUAUCCAGUGCUAUGUUUAUUCUAACAGCCUGAGGCGAGCAGAGAGAGCUCAUCUGCCACAAGGAAUCUAACACUACACACACACAUAGAAAGAGACACACACACCCAGGGGUGCCUGUCAGUGCACUCUCCAUUCAAACGCCCAGGGUGAAGUCUUUCUGGGAUGACCCUCAAAAUACACUACUACACAGCAUGCAGCACGCACAUGCACAGUGAAGCCCCCUGGGGGAAGGAAUGGGCCAAGAUAGUUUCCACAGACAGCUGUCAGCUCCUACUCCUCAGCAGUAUAUGGGUUCAGACUGGCUAAUUGAGCAGAUCGAGCAGUUUGCCUUGAAAUAAAGACAGUUUUAACAGACAUCCAACUGAUUUUGAAAGCCUAAAGGUGUCGUCAGGUGUGCGCUAAGGCUGACGAUGUGGCCAAAAAUCGAAGGGUGUGAGUGUUUCUGGAGUCUGAGUGUGCCUGGACAGUACAAUAAAAGCGAUUUUCUGUUGAAACAUGCAUACACAUUGUGACAUUCUCCAUUUUACAUCCACCUCAUGGUUGUGAAGUUUCCACUCUCAUCAUCAAGCAAUUUGCAAAUCACACUGUGAUGAAGAGCUCAUCCAUCUGCUGUACAGUCUGUGGGCCAUAUUGUUAAGCAGGAGGAAGAGGGAGGAAAGAAAUGCUCUCUCUGGCUCACUGCACACCUUAAGUGUGAAUACAGGUUGAUGCAGUGGAAAUGGGCAGUGUGCACUCCAUAUAAAUCCAGUUAUUUUGACAGAAUGCAGAUAGAAUACUAGCUGAGGUGGUUGAAACUACAAUAGUGAGAAGACCAUCAAAACAAUCGUCUUAAACCUCAGCACAGUAAUUGUGUAAAACUGUCUAUUAGACUACCUCUUAGGUUUAAUCACCAAUAAAGAAUUUAAUCAUUUAUAAUUUAGCUUUAAUAAUCAGGAGAAAGGUGAAACAGUAAGACAGCCAUGGCUGAGUUUGCCCCUGGAGCUUCUGCCACAGACUCGGCCACAAAUAUGCAAAUUCUAGAGUUGCCAGAGCAUGCUUUCUAGGCCUGCAAGUUCACAAAUCUGGCUGACCAUGACCAAACUAGCAGGCCUUUCCCUCUCUCUCUCACACACACACACACACAAGCACAGGCUCUCCCUGAAAGUAGUAAACAUGCCCUUUGGAGUUUGUCCAGCGAACCUGAAGCUGUUAACAGUUAGAAAUGAGAGGUGAAGUUUGGCACACACCUUGGCGCCACUGCUGCUUUGAUUAACAAAUAGGUAACAGCUCUCUUUACUGUACAAUACAAAUUACACUUUAGCUCCUCACACACUCUGUGUAUUCUCAACUUUUAAGCAUGUGCAUGUGUUCAAAUGAUUUGCCUAUAAAAACAGCCUGUUCCUCUUUACACGACAGUAACUUUAAUCUGAUCACAUAAAAAAAAUGAAAACACAAUUAAUUGGAGAAUAAAUUGGGAUUUUAUGUACACCUCCAAAAAGGAUGAACAAUGUACUGCUGCUGCAGUCAUCUUCAGUAUUGGUACUACAGCACCCACAAUGUACAUACACAUAUGCAGAGGCAAAGGAAGUACUGUCCUGCGCUGCGCUACUUGGCUUUAAUAUUUCAUACUUGCCAGCUGGAAGUAAAAGGCUGCCAACAACUGUACAAACACAUGCACUUUAAUAAGAAUUCCUACAGGACUGGACGCACUUUGUUUCUACUAAUAAAACCUUGACUGAAUGAAACUCAUACACACAUACACAUUUAGGAGGACAGCUGAGGGAUCACAGAGGAUUUCUUUGUCAAGAUCACUGCUAUGAUACAAGUGGUAAUCACUGUCAAGAUUGGGGCAAUAAGCAUAUGUUGCUGGUGGUUCUGAAGGGGAAAAGCUGUGGCAGGAACUCCAGGCCUGAUGACAGUCAGACUGAUACCACUGAUCCUGUCGCUAUUACACAACACACUUUGUCUGAUCUGUGGCUAAUGCUGCAUUAUCACCAUAUCUCCCUUUGGACCAUGGAGACUCAGGGUUGCAGCUGCAUGAACAGGCACACUCUCCCUCCCUCACACACACACACACACACACACACACACAUACACACCAUUUCCACAUGCCCUAUUGAUACCAGUUUUUUCCCAAAGAAUUGUUUGGAAAAAAUUUUAUGACUCAGUGCUGAACAAGCACAGCUUCCCUCUGCAGUAAGCUAUAACUGUUGGCCUUGGUGACAGAAUACACUGUAGCCACCCUCAGAUCCCACACAAUACCAAUUGGUAGACUUAGCUUUGUUUUUAUGUGUCUGAACUGACGUGAGAACUGAGGGUGAAAUGAAAGACGCACAAACGUAUUUAACUAAACUAUGUGACAAAGGCACAGUGGGAUUGGACUGCUUCUGCAGAGCAGUAGACGAAGAAAAGUUGAGCUCGCAGGAAAAUAAAUACCAUCCACUGCCUAGCAACUGGGCAAAAUGUACAACAGUUGUGGUUGUCUUUGACUCAUGAAGAAAAUUAGGAACAAAAAACAGCAGAGGAGGGGAAUGAGAGGCCAGUUCAGUUCUGUACUUGGAUGAGAUUAAUUAGCUUCUGUACGUCAGCUGCAAUUACCUUUCUCUCACACAAAAAAAUGUAGAAAACGGACAGAAAGAGGAAGAAUGUAAGUCUGUAUGUGCAUGCUUACAUAUCGUCAUUCUCCAUGUGUGAUGUGGGAGAAGGGUGUAUUAGCAUGAAGAUAUGUAGUGCUUGGAAAAAGCAGCAGGGAAUUUGUAAAUCUUCCAGCAAGACUCAGGAAAUUGCCUGAUUACCAGUGGGUUACAAUGUGACUGGCGGACAAGGAAAACCAACAUGGAGAUGGGUGCUGGGGGAACUAGCGCCAGGAUUAAACUGGGGUCCAGCUGCAGCAGGACAGAGCUGGGUGCCUGACCCAUGAUGGACAGACUGUAUUCACAGGUGGUGAGUGUCAUUAAGAGUGACACAAUCAGGUCAGAUGGCAGUUACAUUGAGUGAGUAAAGACUUUUUUGUUGUUAUAUUCCCUCUGUAUAUUACGAUACAACAUCCAAACAGAAACAUAAGCAGCUUUAAUCAAGACCUCAGGUGGCCACAGACUAAAGCAAACUUCCACUAAUUGUAAAAAGGGAGAGAAUAUGCUGGUCCCUUUGGGUCAGGUAAGAUAUCAAAAAUAAAGUGUGUUGUUGCUGUGGUGUACCUGGUGGUUUCAUUAAUCUAAUUGUUAUGGAGCUGAUACAGGAGAUUAUUCUUGUUUAUAUUUACAGAUAACAUGGGACCCAUUUAUUUUGUCCAUGGUACUUCAUUUGGACUCAAAUGAGUAUGCCUGUAAUUGGGUAUCCACCCCCGUUUGGGGAUGAGUAGGUAGUUGCUUUGGGGCCCCUGGGUAUGAAAAACAAUUAUCAUUAUUAUGGCAGGGGAAAUCUGUCUGUUCCCACUGUGCAAACAGGUGGUUAUGGGGCUAGGGUACAAUUAUGCGGCAUAGGUGUUAAGCUGCAAGCUUACAAAUCGGAAAGUCCAGCUGCACACAAUGAACAUUACAGCCAUGGACAGCAGCUAGUCUUUCUAUUCCACACCACUUUCUGAACUUUACCUUGCUAACACAGACAAAUGACUCUUUUACACUAUAUCAACAGUCUUUGAGUGCAACCUGAAGCCACAUUUGUCUUGGUGGAAAAAGUGAUGAUACACUACCACCUGUUAUUGUCCAAAGUGUAAAUAUUUCUGAGGUGAUCCAGUUUUCUAUCUGUGCUUUAUUAAACAUAGAAGCCCUGACUGAUCUUUAAGUGUAAUAUGGUCCAAACUGGGUGGAAGCUAUCAGCACUAAAAUGCUUUCUUAGUAAACUUGUGGUGACAAAAGUGGAGCAAUAACCACCUGAAUGUCUGCUGAUCGCUAAUGUACUCAGCAAGCCUGAAAAACAGGAGCAUCGAUUUCAAUUUGUACUCAUUUUCUCUUUAAAUGUGAAACUAUGUCCUAAUAAGGAAUUUCAGUUUACUUUUACAGAAAUAGGAUUUGAUAAGAACUGAUAGAGCUUUAUCUACUCCCACAUUUGACCAGUGAUGAAACCAAAUGAGAGGAAUAUGUGUGCCAGCCAGCUCUUCUGUGAGAACUCAUGCACGCACUGUCUCCAGAGUUUCGUUAUUCAGUGAAGCAUGAUGAAACUGACAAGUCCAGACAUAAAAGGAAGAAAGAAUGUAGGGUACUUCCUACUGCUCUGUGUCAAGACUGAGGAUCAACAGCUUUAAACAAUCAAGUAAUUUUCUUUAUCUUCCUGCAGUGCCUGCAUAUUGCAUCAGCAUCUCGCAGCCACAGCCUCAUCAAGUUUAAAAUGUAACCGUUUCAAAGGUCCGUCUCUCAUGGCAUUAAGGCUUUACUCUGUGUGUGAAUAAAUGUGCAUGUGUUUGGAGCAAGUGUGACCCAUCCUGGUGGGACUGGGAGCAAGACACAAAGGCAGCAGUGUGGGCCCCUGCUAGCUGAGAACACAGGCCCGCUGUUGAUGUUUAGGCUUGAAACCAUUCCAAUCAGCGCUAUAGCUCACACAAGUUACUCACACUGCUCCGCCUCCUUUCAGUCAGCAUGACAACUGCCUUCGCCACCCACAGCAAAUCGCUUUAUGGCCAGUGGCGAGAGAAAAUACUUGAGGGGACAUGACUAAAGAAGUUAAAUCCUGCUGCUGAUGAGAGGAACAUACUGUAUGUUGAACUGUGAAAUGAGUUCAGACAAUAAGCACUUAAAACCAAACAACAACGACAGGCCUGAUGAGUGUGACAAACUCAGUUUUAGAGCAUUAGCCUAAAGCACAUUGUGAUUUUUUUCUCUCUCUAACAAAUACUAAGAGCUUAGUAACAGCUUGGCUUAAUGAGAGUUGCAAUAGCUUUAAACAGAAAGUGGGCAUUAUCACCUCAACCACCAGUACAAUGUAAUAUAAUACAAUGUAAUAUAAUCCAACUGAACAUUUCAAGUUUUUUGUCCUGCAUUCUGUUCAUGACGUUGUGUGAACAUUCUGUAGGAACGGGUUGUUCGAUACUACCUCUCCAGUGUGUUCAUGUAGUCCUUGUUCAAACAUACUUUCAGAAGCUGCUCACAAUAUCCUAAAUUGACUGCCUUUGAGUAAUUACAGUGGUGCGGUGUUGUAAUUGUGGCAGCCAUUUGAACUGAACCCUCAGGCAUGCAGACAAUUUUCUGAAAAAUUAAUAAAGCAUUGGCUGUGCUGAAUGAAUGUCACAUGCUUUAAUGAGACAAUGAUUUGACAGAUUCUUAUGCUGCUACCGAGAAAGUUACAAACAAAGAGAAAGUUGAAUAAAACAUUGUAAAGAACACAAGAAUAUUUUCUUCUAAGGCUUGGCCAUCUACUAAAUCGAUAAUGGGCCAGGCCACUGGUCCUUCCUGUCCUCACUUCAGAGCAAAUCUGUUAAAUAAAUCAAUGUGUGACCUCACUGGUGACAGGGUGACCCAUGAAUAUCAGCCAUGCACUGGCUUUUAAGAUUAACUCUGAAGACAAUAGAGGCAAACACUGGAUGUCAUGAGGUUUCAAAUCGAUAUCCACUUAGAGACUUAACGCUGUUUAGUCCACUUUAAUGCGAUUUUUCCUGCUUCGUUAGAUUGCUGAUAAAUAAUGGUCGCAGUGCACAUAAGGCUCAUCUCACUGUUAGACAUUGCUUCUCACCCACUUGAGACAUCUCACAGUCUCUUUUCUCACUCUCCCUAGCCUGAGACACAUUGAGACUGAGGCAAAUAACACAAUGAGAUGCCUGAAUUCUCACAAUCUCCCCAUUAAUACACAAUACACUAAGCAUACAGGGGGAAAGUGAUGAGGCAGCUUGUGUUAAUGCCAAGAUGAGUAACUAAAGUGACAAAGAGAGCAAUGGGAAUUCAAGGAAACAAAGGUAGAGAAGAAAAGGAGAGGGUUAGAGGGGGGAAAAAACAACAAUAAAAGUGCUGAGCUGGCAGCUCUAACUGCAGCAGGAUCCAGUGAGACAAGACAGCCUCAAUAUAGUGAACUUUCUGACACACAUAAAGUCAUCUUGUGCGCAUCAAAAUGGCCAUUAUCUCUUCUCCAUCUCCCCAUGGCCUCGCUCUCUCUUUAUUCUACAAUCUGAUUAAUUUCAAUUUUCAUCAUUUCUCAAACUCUUCCUCCCACUGUCCUCGACCGCCUACACACCAACCGUGAACGGUCCGAUGCCGCCUGUUCUUCUCAGCUACAUGUUGAGAAAUGUGCCAAUCCAGACUCAAGAUUAGAGGCCCUCCGAGAGACACAUGUGCUGCUUCCUAUUCUCAGACCCAAUCAAGGAGGAAAUGGAAGCAGCUUGCAUGAACACGUGUACACUUGUGAACAGGAAAAAAAAACACACACACAUACACACAGAGAGACAUAUCUGUUCGUUUGAAAGACAGAGAUGGAGAGAUUCAGUCUCCUCCAACAGAUGGUUACCAUGCCUCGGGCAAAGAGCAAGUCUGGACAACACAGUCACAACUGCUGCCAAAGCAGAGGGGGAUAAGAGGCGUGAAGACCAUGUCUACUUCUUCCAUGUAUACUGAGUGAAUGUGUGGCAAGACUGACAAAAGGUGGCGGGAGAAAAGUACAUUCUAUGCUUUCACUUAAGGCAUUUGAUGACAAUUCUGUGGGAGGAUGCAAAUUUCCUUAACCAGUUGCUAGCCAGAGCAACAAUCAAUAUCUAUUAAUCAUUAAAAGCUUUUGUAAUAGAAACACACGUUUUCCCUCAGUGGUAAAGCAGCAAUAAUUAAGUGGUAAGACAAAGAGCUGAAAGGACCAGUGUGGGAGAAUUAAGACCUCCAACAUGUUAAGCUGCAACAUGUUUUACAGCCUCUGAUCGGGGUUAUAGUCGAUUAAUCAUUAACUUCACCGAUUCUGGAGGCAUGAAAAUGAAAGGAAAACAUCUAUUCAUGUAUGUGCUGCAUUUGAUUGUGGGACCACAAAAUAUGCAAAAAACAGGAAACGACAGAGCUUGAAGCACUAUGUGGUAGUUGUGGCACUCCAUUGAUAGAUAGAUAGAAAACCAAGAGUGGGAGGAGAUGGACAUGUUCUGAAAAAAAUAAUAAUAAUUUCAAGUUGGUAGUGUGCAUUGCAGUCUCUAUCUAUCUAUCUCUCUCUCUCGCUUUUUUUUUUUUUUUAAUAUUUUGUAUCAGAAUGAAAGGCGUAUUGUCAUAGAGGUUAGAUACAAGUGCCUACCAGCAAUACACUACCUUCCUUGAAGGCAAGGAUGCUGCACAGACAUCCUCUUUCCAUCAAUAGAAGACUAAAAUAUAGAGAGCUGCUGAAAGAGGAAACCCAAAUAAAAGACAGGGAAAUAAUGCUGAGGUAUCAUGUUGAAAUGUGUCUGAGAAACACUCAACUGAUAAUUGGAGCUCGCAGGAACUCAGGAUUCUGUCAGCCUUGAAAGUGUAAGAGAGAUACAGGUGUUAUUACAGGCGACUGGGACCUCUGGAACAAAAUGUCUCGAUCUCCUUACUCCCUCUGAGAGAUGUGGUGAGCAAAACACAAAGAAGGAAACAGCAGCUGGUAUAUGAGAGACUGACAGCUUCUGGCUAGCAUUCUCUUCUAGCCUUCUGCAGGUGCUGUCUUACCUUUCCAGACCUUGACAGUUGAUGAAACAGAUAAUCAGGGGCCACAUUAAAUGACCUAACUGUCCAACUUCUUUUUAUAGUUCAAGAAGAAAGAAGAUCAAAUGUUCUUAUUUCAGUUGCUAAACUGUAAUGGCAAAAAUCCCACAUUGUCUUUCUUGGCAAGAUAAGAUUGUGACAUGAGAAUCUUCGGUGCUGUGGAGUCAGGUGUCAGCAGUUUUGAUGGGGCAAAGAUGAAAUUACAAGGAAGCCGAGGAGAAAUGUGACAUGUUUUUACACAGCAAAAAUAUCUGUGGUGAGUUUUUACCCUCUGAGGCACCUCAAUGUCUUGCCCUAUUCACUAAUCUCUCUGUCUGAAAGAAACUUUGUCAACUACCCUGGCAACAGUUUCUCCCCUAAAGACCUUUUAUACACAUAGAGCAUGUCAGCAUACACACACAUACACACACACACGCCAAGUAAUUAGGAAAUUAUAUAUUUCACUAAUUGGAUAGAUGGAAAAAGGGAUGUAGAACAGGUAAUAUCUCUAAGGAGAGGCUGGGGCCUGAUGAGAUGGUGGCAGAAGUCAGAAGUGCUACGUGAUGGUGAAGUGGUCUUAGAGUUGGGAAAAGAAAGGCAGGACAAAGUCAGUUGGGGGUCAUGAAAAGCAGGAGGGGGAAUGUUUGGAUGACACUGAUGGGAGACUGAGAUUAGUGGGACAGCAAACCGUUAAUCAUAGCAAACAGGAGAGAGGAGGGGAGGAGGAGAGAAAGAGGGAGACCCUAAUGGGACACAAGAGCGAGGUCCCGCUGCGAGGGUGCCAAAUGAACUGCCCAGUCCUGGCCUUAACUGCCGAUGAUUGAAACAGCCUUGACAUCCACUCAGGAGUGGACAAGUGCAUAAAAAUCCAACAGGGAAGCUCCAAUUGACUGGGUGGCAACAUGAGUUGGCCAAUAUUUAUUACAAAUAACUCAAUAAUGCUCCUUAAAUUUGCUGAUGAGGAAAAAUUAAAACAGGUGAGGUCUCUCCCGCUUUCAUUUCUUUCAUGGCUUUGAUCCAAGUGUCUUCUCCUGCCUCAUUUCUUCUGCUCUGAAUUCUCAGAGUGAAACCAUUUGACAGAGCAGUGAGCAGGAGUGACUAUCGGGCACGCCACAGUGCCAGGAGCAGUAAUCGCAGCCCACCAGAUGGAAUGAAUUCAUAAUUGAUGCUGAUUUUCGAACUGUUUGCAGGGAUGAAGGAGCGUCAAGCAGAAGGGUGCUGAGAGUCUGCAGCCCUCCGAGCCUUUUGUAAUGUGCUGCAACAUCUGGAGUGGGCUUCUUCAGCCACAGCGCUACUACAAAGCAAAUAGGCAAUCCAAUCUAUUUUCCAAUAGGGAGUGCCCUUCAAACACACUACCAACAUACCAACAUGUUCUCCUGUGGUAAUUAACACACUGUAUUAGCUGGUAUUCAGUGAUUACAAUAAGGGGAAAAAUGACAAUAACUUACUAACCAAUGGAAUUAGCCAGCUGAAAUAUUUAUGUAUAUACUUAAAUACACACUGGUACUGGAAACUGUGUAGUUUUUACCUAGAUUAGACAGAAAAAGUGGUCUUAACAGCAAGAAAUAUUAGAUCUAUUUAUCUGUCAGAAGCCAUGAUGUAUGUGUGUCUAUUUGUCCCAGCAUCCUUGCUCCUCUUUGAUGCCUCCUUCCACUUAAUUUAAUCAGAGCUUACAUCUUGCAGGCAUCUGGUGAGGUCAGGGUUAGGAUAGUGUUACCUGACCUCUGACACAGUGCUGCUGACCUAGCUAGAGACAAAGACCUGGGCCAGCAUCAAGGGUACUGAAAGAUAAUCCCUCUGCAUACACAGACACACAUGCACACACACAAAUUCGCUCACCAGCCACAGGCAUACUAUCCGUCAUAUAAAGUGGCACCGUGGGCUCGACAAAACCAGGGUCAGGCGCUGAUUUAAUACCUCUUACAGAUGUUCAAUCUGCUACGAUGAACAGGAAACACACAACACUCAAACCCUUCUUUAGGAGGAUGAAGACACACACGGCUUUGUUCGCUGCACACAAAUACCGUAUAGCUCUGCCUGCUUCUAAACAACGUGGCAUGACUUCCUGUUUUCCUGUUUUCCGUCAUUUGUGCUACAGGUUCUGGUCUAUGUCACAUUCUUCCUCCCUUUUAGUUGUUGUGUAUACAUUAAGUCCAAUACAUAUUUAUAUUCAAUUGUCAAAGUGUAAUUUGGCACUAAGUAGCUGUGUUUAUAAAUAAGUGGCAAAUAUUUAAAACAUACAUUUCGGCUCACACUUAAUCCCCAACUGCAAACUUACCAAAUUACACGUGUGAAUGGAUGACCACAGGAGAGCCACUAGUAAUUUAGUUAAAAAAAAAAAAAAAAACUAUCAAACAUGUUCUUCAGGCUACUCCCUGGACCAUGGUGAUCUGUCCUGCUGGUUUUUGCCACACUCAUACUACUCUAUUUGAGCUACAGUCUCACUUCAAGGAGCAAAACAAAGCCAGGAGCUUAGCAUCUCUCACUGGCUUUAGCAAUCCACAGUCUCAACAAAUAAUAAAAAAAAAAAAAAAUAAAAAAAAAAAACUUCAUAGCUUGAAUUUGUUCUACUGAUCAUUCACAUUGGCACAUUAUUAUAGGGAAAAUCCUCUUUUAUUCACCUUCAGCUGGCAAAGACAAAGGCAUACAGGGAUACACAGUGCGAUGGUCCUGAGCUCACUGGAGGCAUCUGCUGCAUCAUGGGCGACUAGGAAAUGCACUGCUGAUGCAUUAUACAUACAUCCAUUACCAGCCCACCUCCUGCACUAACCUUUGUACGGAGACACACAUUCACAUGUACAGACACACAUAGAUGGAGGAAAAGGGUUCAAUGAAUUAUGGAUCAGUACAUCAGAAUAUAAACAAUGAGCUGUGGGAGAAGCAUAGAUAUAAACAUUUGGAUACGACCAUACUCUGUGACAAAAGCUAGAGGCAACAGUAGAACCAGAGGCUUCUUGAAUAUUGUUAUAAUGGAUUAUCAUAUUUCACGUCAAGACGUGGCAGCAAAUCUGCAUAAAAAUGUAGUAAGUGUAAUAAACUGUAAUUCUCAAAAAUCAGAAGUCAAAUCAAGGUGAGGUGGAUGUGUAACUAUACUUGUGCAACUCUUGCCUUUCAUACAGCCAAGGAAUGCAGAGUCACUGUUUUCUCAAUUUGAAGUUAAAAGCUGAAUUUAAACGUGAUUGAUUCAAGCAUGAUCACCUAGUGAUUAUUUGACCAAUUCAAUAGCAAAGGACUCAAAACAGGUCACAAAUCCAAUAUUUUUUUAAAUAAAUCAAGUCCACUAAAAGCCAAAGCCCCUGAGAGCACAGAAACUGAGAAUUUUAUUGACAAUGCGUCUUUAAAGGGCACAAACACAAUAUUUUUAUUAUUGUUCUUUUGCAGAUAGAAUUCAAGAGUCUGAAAUGAAGCAUGAUGCUCUGCCACAGUGAACUCACAAAGCAUAUCUUACAAGUACUGUGUGGAAAACAAGGAGCACCCACAGAGAGACACUUACACACAAACUAAGCCACCAUUUUCUCUUUUCGUUUUGGCUAUCCAUCCAGAUUGUCCAUAGCUCUUCAAACUACUCAACACAAAACUGCUCUUCAUCGUUCUUAAAUCUAAAGAUGACAAUCUUGUGCUGGGGUGCUGCUGGGCAAAACUUUUCCAAAGCAAUGAUAACAGUUGCAGUGGUGCACCUGGAAUCUUAAAAGACAAGUUUCUCUUGCCUCAAGCUUUCUUUGUGUUAUUUUAAAUGUCAAUAGAGACAACCACACAAAAGUCAUUAAACUAUAAUUAUCUUAACAGUAUCCCAAUUUGAAAAUUUUGUGGUAUUCAUGGGCUGCAGUGAAACCCCUAUUUUAUACUUGUGCACGUUCUGACAGAAACAGAGGCAUCUAUCAAUUAAAAUGACUGGCUAUCAAUUAACUUGUUUGACUACUUUGAAAAAACAUUAAGAAUCAGAGAGUAGGAGAUGAAAAUUGACCAGAUUCCUUACCAGAUGACACUGUAGGCAUUCAUUUGUCAUUUCAAUCAAGACAGUGAAAUUUUUGAAAAUAAUAUGAAACCUCUGUCGGAGAUACAAGUCAUCUCCCCAUGUAAUCCCCAAGUCUUAGGUUUAUACACCUUUGUGCGGACAUGGCAGACCAAGAAGUCACCAGCCUCCCAGCCUGGUCCGGGAUAAUUACUCCAAACUGAAAGGCCAUCGAUCAAAGAGCAGACGAGGCAGCCAAGGCUGCCUGUGACGACUGGCCUUCUCACAGCCCUAAAAAUCAGAGGCUGCCCUGGCCUUGAAGCCUGCAGACAUGAAAGGCGCAACCAGACCAAUGCACCUGACACGGCCAGAGCAAACAUCAUCGCUCAGCAUUUCAACUCAUGUUUAGAUGAGACGCUGUGACUUUGAAUCCAGUUUGAACUUUAAGAUAAAACCCCUUCUGUCUCAUGAUAACUUUAAAGCCACAUGUGAAGCGAUUAUGAAAAUAUUUUCUCAUUGUAUAUUUACAUUUUAAUCCAGUUUUAUUAUAUAUGAUACAGGCAAAGCCAAAGAGCCAAGACAAAGUGUUUCUCUAAAUAUGAUCUGAAAUCUAAUUUGCAUUUCAUUCAUGUAUUUUGUAGCACUUUUGUGGUGAAAUAGAACUAAGUAACUUUUUUGGGAAACCUCAAACAGUAUCUAAUUCAGAACGGAACAAAAUAAAAUAAUUUGAUUUUUACUGCUUGAACAAAUAAUUUUUUUUACCCACACUAAUCAUACUUCGUUUACAUUGGCAUUAAUGUUUAAAUAGGAGAGACAGAGACAGUAAACUGCCUGAGGGUAUUUUGGGAAGGAAAGUUUUUAAAGACUUUUAAGAAAGUCGUAUGUUCUGUUUUAAUAUAAGACACAUUGUGCGACCUCUGUGUGGUCUUCUUACAGCUGGGUAGGAAGAAACCGGUAUUCCUGCUGCCAUGCCGCAUGACGCUAAUAGCUAGAUGAUGUCAGUUCUGUCAUAAAGCACUCUCACUGUGUUUCUUCGUCUGCUUUUGGUAAAGUCUUGAAAGAUUAAUUUUUUAUCAACUGGAAACACAUAACAAAAUAUAAUUUGACAGACCCACAUUUAAGAAGUUUCCUAAAAUGUGUUUUGCUCAUCAAGCAAAUUGAUAACGUAAUGUGUAGGUUAUAAUUAUCUACAUGAAAAGAUGAAGAGAGUGUGAAACCUAGUGUGCAACAGAAGAAGAAGAAAAAGAAGAGCCAAAAGAGGCCGCAAUUUACCACAGGAAACAGACAGGAAGUUUAUUCCUUCUCUGUAUCACUAUGGCAACCUCAACUUGCAUGGUGAAAAAAAGGCACAGGAAAUGAAAAGAGGAGGGGUAAAAUGAGAGGUUUCUUAACGGUUUACACAUUUUCCUCAGAGCAUACAGGCUGAAACUUGCUUUGCUGACACCUUUCACUGAAUGAAGGAAUUCAAGUUGACUUGUUACAUCAUGAAGGCAAAGCUAAUUGCAGAGUUACUGGUCUCAACUUUCACACAGAUCAGAUUUUGAAUAUGAUGUAUUAAACUAUAUAAAACUGUACUUUUUACCUGCACUAUAGUUAUUAUAUUCAAAUCAUGAUGAUGAACACUGAGUGCAGUGGAGGAAAUGUCUGCAAGCACCUUGAGAUUCCGUAUCCUAACAUCAUGAAAAGCUUAGUAAAAGUUCUGAAUCAAAUUAAAUGUUGUACCGAGAAAGUGGAAAUAAAAACAAAAGAUAAUGAAAAAACAGUGGGUGUUAACAGAGAUGAUAUUCAGCAGCUGAUGCAAGAUAAAAGGAUAUUAUCUUGUUACUGGCUUCUGCUAAAGAUAAGACUCACCGUGCUGGCAUGGUUCAGUCACACCUGAGAGUCUUGGUAAAGUAUGCUAAUCCGUCCUCUUUUCAAGGAAGUGUAUUAACUCAACAUCUGGAAAACUGAAAUUCCAUUAAUAAAACUAAAGUGCUCUACCUUCACUAGCAGAUUACUGAUCUUAAAAAGGGUCUGUACCGAUCUAAACAACUGUUAAAAUGGAUGUAAAACAGGACUGUUCAAGUUUGCAGAUGACACCAUCUUGGUUUGAGCCUCUUUGCUGAUAAUGUGUGCUCAGGAGAGAGAUGGUCUAUUCUAUGCCACUGUUUUAAGCAGUGAAUUGGAGCCACACAUGCAUGCAAGGGGAUGUCACUGCUGAUGUGACAUUGGCUUCAAACUUGAGUUGUCCUCACUAGUCACUGGGUCAUUACCUGUCACUGAACCACUAUCAAGACACUGCACGACACCAUGAAAGACAAGACAAAACAGCAGGGAAGACUGCUGGUGACACUGUCUGUACAGGCCCCCAACCAGUCUCUCUCCUCUGCAGAUUCAUUGAAAGGUGCCCUGCUCUUUCAAUCAGUCAAACGUGGUAGGUGAUAGACAGUUGCACUUUCCUUCUACUAAUUCUCUUUGACAAUGUGGUUGUGAUUAUCUGUUUGAAAUGUCAUACAGACACUCGUCAUUCCUCCAUAAUUCCAUCACACUUCCACUUUCUGUGUCAGUUUAUAAACAAACUGUGAAAAAAAAAACUUUAGUAAAAGACUUUGGUAAAAGUUUGUAGAGGAUGUGUUGUUCUGCAGGCAAGGGAAAAAAACUGUGAAAGAAACCAGUUUGAACUUGCUUAAAGAUAAUCUAUUUCCAAAAUAUGCCUGACAGAACUAAAUGUUGUCUUGCUAAAGACCACAGGCAUCUACAACAAUGAAAUGUGAAUGAGCAGAACAUUGUAUUUGUGUCAGCUCCAGGCAUGUGGUACUACUACUCACUCUGUGCCUCGACUUCCCUGUUGAAAGGCAAAUUUAACUCCACUGACAUUUCUAAGACUGACCCCACUAUAACUUGUGUACUCUUCUCAACAGUCAUUGUGGUGUGACUGUAAAUCUGUUUACCCUUAUGCGUACAUUCAUGAUCAUAUCUUUUAUUACCACUUGUGUGCUAUAGAUUGCGUUACAAUGUGAACCCAACCUCCUAUACACUUUGCGAUUUUAUAGCCUCGUGAAUUUUCACUGUGACUGCUGCUGUGACAGACCUUUUACAGCUGUUCCUGCAAUUCAAUUAUCUAAUUGUUGACUUCAGGCAUGCAUUCAGUAGCAUAAUAAGGUACAGACUAUAUGAGUGAAAUGCAUUGCCUAUGUGUAUCGUGUCACCUGGAUAGAUCCACUCAGAAUAACUGCUCUAACCUUUAAUAUAGCAAUACACAGGUUAAGGGUUAAGAACAUUUUCUCUGUCAAAACUUUUUCUCUAAAAUUGUUUUCAAUCCAUGCAGGUAUUACUGAUGUUCAGUUACUUUCAUGAGACACCAUGCAGGUCUCAAUACUUUAGCAAAGAAAAAGCUAUGCAACAACCCACAACUCACUGACCACUGUUGGUACUAAUUCCUUUUCUAUCAUUAUGCUAUAAAUCACUGUAAACAUCAAGAGAGCAGGAGAUAGAUUGAGAGGGGCAAAGAUUAAAAAAAGCUGAAGUGUCCAGAUUCAGAAGUUUAAGGUGUCUAUCAAGCAAAAAUAAGUUUUGUAACCUCAACACUAUAGACUCCUGGAGCUUGGCAAAGUUGCCUAUGAGAUUCAGGACAGGUUAUCUGUGUUAAUAAUGUUUAUUAUAGCCUUAUUGUGCAACUACUGCCAGAAGACAGGAUAUAUAGCUGCAGCAAGCUGCUCAGAAUUAGAUUAAAAAUAUAAAUUAGCUGAAAAAGGACCAAUGCAGCCACAGUCAUCAGAGGAUUUAAAGGUUUAAUUCUAAUAUCUUCCACAAGGGUUGAAAGAACUGCUAAUUGAGACGGGCCUUUAAGACUUCCUGACAUGAUGGAAAAUUAACCUCCAAUAUUGACUUUACUAGGUCUCCAUUAAAGCAGGAGAAUUUCUUUUAAUAUUUUUGACAUUUAAAUAACAGGCUAUAUAACUGUUGACCCAGAGAGAGUGAGUGAGUGUCUGAGUCUGAGGAUACACACAGUUGGCAAUUAAAACAGAAAAGCUGCAGUUUAAAGAACUAGUGUUUUCACAUGAGCAUGACACUUAAAUUCACAUUACGACUAGUAUCCACAAGGAGCGUGACUAGCACUGCUUGUUUUUGGAAACUUAAAUGUAGUAAUUCUAUUUUCAAAUCAAGCAACAGCAUUUAUUUAGAAUGAGCAUGGACUGAUAGUGACUACAGAUAUCUGCUGUGAUGUAUUUAGCAAAGUUAAGUUUGUACUAAAACAUUAAACAUUAAAAUACUUUAUUAAGUCAAACUUUAUCUCUGUGGGAUUUUAAUCAAUGUGUGUGUGUGUCUAUGUGUUUUUGUGUGUGUCACUGAGUGAGUACUCCACAAGAAUACGGAGCACUACCACUCUCACAGAGAACUCUUUGUGUGUGCACAUUGCCCCUGAACCAGCAAGUCCACCAAAGCCUCGUUGCAGCUUUGUUUGGCUUGCUUUCUUUUUGUUUAUUCCACUUCCUUUCAGGCUCCUCUCUGCAGCUGACCAGAGAGAUGGCCCUGGACACCGAAAGAGGAGCGAAAGAGACUCAGUUAGAGAAUGUGAGAGCCAGACACACAGGCACACAGACAGACAGACAGACAGACAGACAGACAGACAGACAAAUGCUCAAUCAAGUGAAUCUGGUUUAGAACGGGGCCAGGGUAAUUACCAGAUGAGAUGUCAGAGAAAAUCGAUUUCCAGGUUUAUGAUCGAAAUGGCACUGAACAUCUAUGAUAUUAAAAACCUGUUCAGUACUUUCUCAAUGAAAAAUAAAACAUUAGCAAUGAGGAUUUCUGAAGCCCUGGCGUAUACAACCAGGGAAGUUUUGUAUGUAACCCCAAGCUCUGUGCCAACAAGCACAAACAAGUGGGGUUUUUUUUGUCCACUCAUUGCCCAACAGUCUAUUUUUGGUUCAAUUUUGGCACACAGUUUGUCGCUAGAUAGCAGUUAUUGACAGGACUCUUCAGUGACAGCAGCUGCUCAUAUUGGCUGCAGGGAAAAACAGGUAACUGGAAAUGAAACUUUUUGGUACGCAUGCUAAAAUAUGUACAAGGGAAGUUCAUUUUUUUCUCACAGGGUUGAAAAGGGCAAUAAAUUCUUAAAACUUAUUCUGCUGAGAUCAUUUGACUGGCAUCUGAUUAGCCCAGCCAUACCAAAAUGUUCUUUUGUGCUUCUACUCCACCAUAAUUGGACAGAUGGAAAUGCAGGUCUUAUGAAAUCCAGUAAAUGUGUUCAGUGUUGUUAGUAUUUGAAGUCUGACAUUUGGGAAACUUGUAGGAAAACUUAAAGUCAGCAUCGUAAAUCAAACACCAUAAUUUAUGUCACGUCACAUGAGAUAGAAAAGAGGUCAAAAGUAUGAAAAUAAGACCAGGUCAGAGAUUUUCUUUUCGAAGACACAUACAGGCACAUACAGUCACCUCCAUUCCUGUCAGUGACAUCCUCCCAGCUGGUUAUACUGCCAAAACAGGCUUGUUUGCUUUCAAAACACACUCUGCUCCAGUGAUAAUCGCCAUAGUAACCAGAGAGCUGAAACCCUAAGCUAUCUGGAGCUUUCCGCACAUUAACAAUUACAGUUCACUGAAGCUGACAUGCAGAAGACUGUCAUCAAACACUGGGUCAAAGAUGACCAGACAAAGCAGAUUAAUUCAUUAACACUGUUUCACCGAUAGUAAUACCUCACAGUUGACUCUCCACAACAAAAACAUUUCCUUGACAACGCAGCCUGGCGACAGAGCCCUGUGGCUUCAUCGAGGAGAUGGCAUAAAGAAGAGGAGAUAAGUGACGCCAUGCCCCACACUGACACUAGAUGCUGCCCAAUACAACCAGAGUCUGAUCUGCUGACCACUGAAGAGCGCCAGUACAGGAGUGAGGAGGAAGUGGGAGGAAAAUGCAGAAGUUGUGCUUGUGAAGGUCAAGCUGAGGCACAACAGAGACAGCGCUCCAGAGGUUAAAGCCUUCAUAUUCUAAGAAAUCACUGAGUAAACCUCUUAUCAUGCAUGAUUUCAAAAUAUUUUAUAACCCUCCAUGAAGCCCUGCGCAACCUUCCUAAAUAAGGAACAUCAGAAUGACAGUGAACAUAAUCUGGAUUGUAGAGAAAAAUAAAAAAUACUACAGAUCGUGGUCUUCAGGUUUUCUACACAGAUUCAAAAUUCUGUUUUCUAAAUUGAAUUUUUUUUCCACUUAGGUGUGCAUUUUUCUGGCGCCCUUUUUGAAUUUGACUACGUCACACCCAAUCUAUCUUCCUGUGCAAGCACAACAUUUCUACAAGUACUGGGUUGGGAUUACUCAGUUUCCUGUUCACCUUCCUCACAACUACAAUAGUGGUUUCCUUGAUUGCGACCCACUCUGUUCUAAUUUUUGUUCCUCUGUAGCUUUUUUCUGCUGUCAUGUUCCUUGUCUGUCUCCAUCACUCACAUUAAAAGCGUUUUUCUUUUUUGCUUCCUCUUUCUCUUAUGCAAAUGUUGUCAAGCAGUGUCAUGUGGCCUUGCCAUUUGAUGAUGCUUUGAGAAGAGCAACAGAUCUUCUUGCUAAUUCAAAUAACAGCAGAAUUAUUAUGCAAGAAUGAAAUUGCGAAGAGGUAAGAGUCAAAAUGAUAUUUUAGAGCUGUGCUCGCGGGUUUCUGAGGUUUAUGGGCUCAGCACAUGGUUCACAAUGAAUACAGAUCUAGAGUGGGCCACAGGUUUCGUCACAAUUUGUGGCUGCCCUACAAAAUGACAGCAACUCGAGCAUGGAAGUAGGAAAUGACUUAGCGCCAAAAUGUCAUCAUAACAACACAUACCCAAGUUUAAAAUGUCUGCAAAUAUAUGAAAUCAUCAUAAUUAUCCCAAGCUGACUUAAAUACAGAAAUUAUUUGUGUGUUUUUUGUGCUGUGUGUUUUGAAACAAGCACAAAUUAAGCUCAAAAUAAAAACAACCCUGUCUUCAAGGGUUGUUAUUAAUGCUAUGAUGGACAAGCCAACAAAUGUGUAAAUACAUCUGGCAAAGUGUGCUGAAUGAUAACAACAUGCAAUUUACCCUAGAGCAUCUGCUGGUAAAAUAUUGUAUUGCACAUGGAUUUUCUCUUCAGUCUGACAAUGAAGUAGAAAGAUAAAAUGUUGGGUCUAUUAACUGACUUCCAACCUUAGGAGUCAGAGCUCAUGAGGAACGCUUUAAGGCAGAAAGUAGGGCAGAGUGAACCCAGCUGUCAUUCAGUUUCAUGCUCUGAUACCAACACUUGGGCUGCCAAAUAACAAAGUUCUGCUGAUUAUAGAGUAGAAGGAUGAUAAAUUACAUUUUUUCAGUAAAUCUUGAUAUGACAGAAAAUAUAUGCACUGCAAAUAAAAUGCAAAUAUACAACUUGUGCUACAAAUAUUUGUUUCCUUACAGAAGGUGAUUGUGUUUCCAUCUUCCACCUCCCCUCCCCUUCAACUGCUGCCUCUGUUGUGCCACAUUUUCUACUGCUUUAGGCUGUAACUCAGUUGUUUUCAGUAAAAAUGCAUCACAAUGCACUGAGAAGAACUAUCCAGUGACAGAUUAUUUUAUUGACCCUCCUUUUUUAAUUUGCACGAACCCAGUGACGCGUGACCCAGGGCUAACUGUCUACAAGUUAAUGCAAGUUAAUGCAAGGUUCCUGUGAAGGUCUGAAAGGGGCUAUUUGUCAGAAAAGUCUAGAUUUGCAAAACUCAAAACAGUGUAAAAGAUUCAUCAGCCAGUCUAUAGCUGUGGUAUAUCACAGUGAUCAGAAAUCAACCCUGGGUAAUUUUGUUAGAAUAAAGCUGGACUGUGAGAGCUCCUCCUGACAUGAGGACAGAUCCGCUGGCUGAAAAGACUAAUAACAGUAUGAUGCAACAAAACCAACUGUGGUGUAAAAAGCUUUGUGUAAGAGUCCACAAGGUGAGUCAUUUAAGACCACUGAAAGUUCUCAGGGCUGUACAUCAGUUUGACAACAGCAUUUUUCCUGCAAAGAGAAUCAAAAAGCAGCCAACUUGCUGAAAUUCGUGAUUCAGUUUUCCUCUUGGAUAAAUAAUAGGUUUGGGAAGUCAAAACAGUGGUGCCACAUUUUUUGUGUAAGUCGUGAGCUUUCAGUGAUUUCUGAAGGAAAUUAUUAAUUUAAUUAUUAUUAAUCACUGGGGAAGAUAAGAUAAGUGACAAAAAUACAUGCGUCAUAUGAUGAAAAACCAUGUUCAUUUGCUCACCAGUGAAUCACACUUGUCAAAAAGGGCAAUCAGACCAAAGUUAGUAUAAAGGUCUCAGGUUGUGUUGAUAAAUGGAGAGCAGAGUCCUAACUUUUGUCACAUAUUCCUUGUAAUAAGACAUUAUAAUCCAUAGCUGAUGAAGGUCAUGGUGUUCAUGCAGGCAGGCUGG